RNAcentral lists this long non-coding RNA (209 nucleotides) under Elaeis guineensis (African oil palm). RNAcentral describes it as "long non-coding RNA (EGUI_LNC067089)". Lineage: Eukaryota; Viridiplantae; Streptophyta; Magnoliopsida; Arecales; Arecaceae. The record is from RNAcentral.
UGCACCGAGCCCCCUCGCGCAGCAAGGCAUGGCACGGCACCGCCUGCGCCCGUGCCAAGCCCAUGUCCGAGGCUACAGCCCUCCUUCGAUGUGCCGUCCCGAAGGUGUGCGCCCUCCUUGCGCACAAUGCUGCACCGAGCCCCCUCGCGCAGCAAGGCAUGGCACGGCGCCGCCUGCGCCCGUGCCAAGCCCAUGUCCAAGGCUUCAGC